This is a small nucleolar RNA of Erpetoichthys calabaricus (reedfish), 127 nucleotides long. NCBI's taxonomy places the organism in Eukaryota, Metazoa, Chordata, Cladistia, Polypteriformes, Polypteridae. The record is from Ensembl.
CCCGCCACUGUGCCGGCCUUAACUCGUGGCCUGUAUACUCCAGUGGUGGCUGACAUUAACUCCUUCCCAAGGAAGCAGGGUGGCCCUGACCAGUGGGCAACUCUGCGCCGAAGGGCUCGGAACAGGA